This 31-nucleotide non-coding RNA is filed under the name Rattus norvegicus (Norway rat). The record is from RNAcentral. Lineage: Eukaryota; Metazoa; Chordata; Mammalia; Rodentia; Muridae.
UGAUGGAAGGCUGUUUUACAUUGACAUCCUU